RNAcentral lists this ribosomal RNA (459 nucleotides) under uncultured bacterium. Its description in RNAcentral is "partial 16S ribosomal RNA". It matches the Rfam family "Bacterial small subunit ribosomal RNA", at positions 338 to 795 of the family's 1533-position model. The record is from RNAcentral.
CCUACGGGUGGCAGCAGUGAGGAAUAUUGGUCAAUGGACGCAAGUCUGAACCAGCCAUGCCGCGUGCAGGAAGACGGCUCUAUGAGUUGUAAACUGCUUUUGUACGAGGGUAAACGCAGAUACGCGUAUCUGUCUGAAAGUAUCGUACGAAUAAGGAUCGGCUACUUCGGGCCAGCAGGCGCCGUUAUACGGGGGGUUCAAGCGUUAACCGGAAUUAAUGGGUUUAAAGGGUGCGUAGGCGGUCGGAUAAGUUAGAGGUGAAAUCCCGAGGCUCAACUUCGGAAUUGCCUCUGAUACUGUUCGGCUAGAGAGUAGUUGCGGUAGGCGGAAUGUAUGGUGUAGCGGUGAAAUGCUUAGAGAUCAUACAGAACACCGAUUGCGAAGGCAGCUUACCAAGCUACUUCUGACGUUGAGGCACGAAAGCGUGGGGAGCAAACAGGAUUAGAUACCCCAGUAGUC